GCUACGGGAGGCAGCAGUGAGGAAUAUUGGUCAAUGGGCGUAAGCCUGAACCAGCCAAGUCGCGUGAGGGAUGAAGGUUCUAUGGAUCGUAAACCUCUUUUAUAAGGGAAUAAAGUGCGGGACGUGUCCCGUUUUGGCUGUACCUUAUGAAUAAGGAUCGGCUAACUCCGUGCCAGCAGCCGCGGUAAUACGGAGGAUCCGAGCGUUAUCCGGCUUUAUUGGGUUUAAAGGGUGCGUAGGCGGCCUUUGAAGUCAGCGGUGAACGCCUGUGGCUCAACCAGAGAAUUGCCGUUGAAAGUGGGGGGCUUGAGUAUGUUUGAGGCAGGCGGAAUGCGUGGUGUAGCGGUGAAAUGCUUAGAUAUCACGCAGAACCCCGAUUGCGAAGGCAGCCUGCCAAGCCAUGACUGACGCUGAUGCACGAAAGCGUGGGGAUCAAACAGGAUUAGAUACCCCUGUAGUC
RNAcentral lists this ribosomal RNA (460 nucleotides) under uncultured bacterium. Its description in RNAcentral is "partial 16S ribosomal RNA". It matches the Rfam family "Bacterial small subunit ribosomal RNA", at positions 338 to 795 of the family's 1533-position model. The record is from RNAcentral.